Long non-coding RNA from Heterocephalus glaber (naked mole-rat), 368 nucleotides. The record is from Ensembl. Lineage: Eukaryota; Metazoa; Chordata; Mammalia; Rodentia; Bathyergidae.
CCUCACCCAGCCAGGGCAGGACAAAGGGAUAGCACAGUGGAGGUGGCUUUAAAUCAGGACCUGAAGAAGAGGUGGAGAUGCCAGGCUGCCAGAGAUUAAGGGAAAUGCCACUGUUUUCCUCAGCAUGUAAGAAGCAAAGCUGAUCAGCCUGAUUCCCGUAGAUGCUGUGGAUUCCCUGGAAGGCCUUCUUUCUGACCCACUGAGACUCUGGCUGUUCAAGUUUUCUCUGCACCUGAGCAGAUGUUUCAGGAAGAUUCACAGUGAGCAGAAAGGGCACUGAGUGGGAUCUUGGAGACUGUUCCUGUCACUACAUUCAGAGCUAACGCAUCCCCCAACUGGAGCUACAUAGUAUUCCACAGUACAGAAAC